CCAGUGUUCAGACUACCUGUCC
RNAcentral lists this microRNA (22 nucleotides) under Monodelphis domestica (gray short-tailed opossum). RNAcentral's name for it is "mdo-miR-199b-3-5p". Its record names the gene mdo-miR-199b-3-5p. Lineage: Eukaryota; Metazoa; Chordata; Mammalia; Didelphimorphia; Didelphidae. The record is from miRBase by way of RNAcentral.